AUUUAAGCAUAUCACUAAGCGGAGGAGAAGAAACUAACCAGGAUGCCCUCAGUAAUGGCGAAUGAAGCGGGCGUAGCUCACGCUGCCAAUCCGGAGGCCNUUGCGCCCCCUGAAUUGUGGUCUAGAGAGGCGCCUUCGGGCGCGCGCGCCGCUCAAGUCCCUUGGAAGAGGGUAUCGGAGAGGGUGAGAAUCCCGUACCGUGGCCGCGCGCGCCCUCACGAUGCGUCCUCGUCGAGUCGGGUUGCUUGGGAUUGCAGCUUGAAGUGGGUGGUAAAUUCCAUCUAAAGCUAAAUACUGGCGAGAGACCGAUAGCGAACAAGUACCGUGAGGGAAAGAUGCAAAGAACUUUGAAAAGAGAGUCAAAGAGUGCUUGAAAUCGGCAGGAGGAAACCCGGAUGGGCCCGGCUUCGGCGCGCCGACUCAGCCGCCCGCUCGGGGCGGUGCACUUUGUCGCGCCGGGUCAGCCGCCGCUCUGCGCGCGUCACAAGCGGGGAGUAGGGCUCCGGCGAGCUCCCCCUCUGCCUCUCGCGGGGCGCCGGCUGACGGAACGGGCCCCUCCGACCCGUCUUGAAACACGGAACCAAG
RNAcentral lists this ribosomal RNA (585 nucleotides) under Isochrysis zhanjiangensis. RNAcentral's name for it is "LSU rRNA". It matches the Rfam family "Eukaryotic large subunit ribosomal RNA", at positions 32 to 670 of the family's 3401-position model. The record is from RNAcentral. Lineage: Eukaryota; Haptophyta; Isochrysidales; Isochrysidaceae.